Trichobilharzia regenti is the source of this 45-nucleotide non-coding RNA. Lineage: Eukaryota; Metazoa; Platyhelminthes; Trematoda; Strigeidida; Schistosomatidae. The record is from Rfam.
CGUUGGCUGAUGAGUCCCAAAUAGGACGAAAUGAGCAUCCUGGCU